GCAUUUUCACAUUUGCAGCACGUAAACUACAAUUGUAAUGAUUCAGGGAAGAUUAACAUGACCCCUGUGAAAGGAUGACAUGUAAAUUCUUGAAGUGUUUCAUAUUUCU
Molecule: small nuclear RNA, 109 nt
Organism: Sarcophilus harrisii (Tasmanian devil)
Lineage: Eukaryota; Metazoa; Chordata; Mammalia; Dasyuromorphia; Dasyuridae
Source: Ensembl